AGUGAACGCUGGCGGUAGGCCUAACACAUGCAAGUCGAACGGCAGCACAGUAAGAGCUUGCUCUUACGGGUGGCGAGUGGCGGACGGGUGAGGAAUACAUCGGAAUCUACUUUUUCGUGGGGGAUAACGUAGGGAAACUGACGCUAAUACCGCAUACGACCUACGGGUGAAAGCAGUGGAUCUUCGGACCUUGCGCGAUUGAAUGAGCCGAUGUCGGAUUAGCUAGUUGGCGGGGUAAAGGCACACCAAGGCGACGAUCCGUAGCUGGUCUGAGAGGAUGAUCAGCCACACUGGAACUGAGACACGGUCCAGACUCCUACGGGAGGCAGCAGUGGGGAAUAUUGGACAAUGGGCGCAAGCCUGAUCCAGCCAUACCGCGUGGGUGAAGAAGGCCUUCGGGUUGUAAAGCCCUUUUGUUGGGAAAGAAAAGCAGCAGGUUAAUACCCCGCUGUUCUGACGGUACCCAAAGAAUAAGCACCGGCUAACUUCGUG
Molecule: ribosomal RNA, 492 nt
Filed under: uncultured bacterium
Lineage: Bacteria
Description: partial 16S ribosomal RNA
Rfam family: Bacterial small subunit ribosomal RNA
Source: RNAcentral